Cyprinus carpio carpio is the source of this 992-nucleotide long non-coding RNA. Lineage: Eukaryota; Metazoa; Chordata; Actinopteri; Cypriniformes; Cyprinidae. The record is from Ensembl.
UUUACAUUUACAAACACCAGCGCAGAACACAAUCUGCAGUUGCCAAAUGUUUCCUUUUGAAACAGUUUUCGGCAGUGCAUAAAUCAGCAAAACAAACAAAGGGCUGUGCAGCCAGCUAAAACUGAAGAAAAGGAUUUCAGAUUGAGUCCGGGAUAUUUCACAAAGUGCGAAUGUGGCAUAGACUCCCCCUGCACUGAAGGAGCCAGAUCCCUGGAAGCAUCCAACAUUUCCUGUAGAGAGCAAGACCAGAGUCAUUACAGCACUGGCCAGGGAUGCAGGCAGUCUGAAGCAAACAUUCAAACAAAACAGUCAGCAUCGGCAGAGAGAUUUACACGGCAUGCUUGAUUUAGGAUGUCAGAUUCCCAACUGCUAUGGGGCUGAGAUGAAGUGGAUGGCCUGGGGCAAUGUCAACAUUGGGGCUUUGGCCCCUCUCAACCCACUUGUGUGAGAGGGAGAGACCAUGACCAAGUCCAGGAAACAGCUGCGGAAAAGAGUGUAAUCCCAGGCUCGGAGGUACAAAGGACACCCUCCAGGUAUUGAUCUUUCUGUGGCAGAGAAGAAAAAGGAAGACUUUGGGUACACUGCAGAGUGUAAGCUGAGGACCAUACAGAAGGAGUGAUUGGUCUAAUUCUCAUAUUCAGGGUGACCUAACUCUCACGAUGAGCCGAUACAGUGGACACUUGAGGUAUGGGGAGGAAGACAGACUGAUGGUUUUUGUGUUGGAUGCAGAUUUGGAUAUAUAUCAAUACUCCCUACCAUCUUGUUCUGUUUAAGGUUGUUCUUUUUUCAUAUUUUAUACCUCCUGGGGUCGAAACUGUAUAUGGUGCGGCAAAUGAAGUUCAUGUUGGUAAUGGAGAUUGAAUUGUAUUACAGAACAGCAGACACUUGAAGUAGCAUUCAGUCAUACUUUAUUUUUAUAUUUUCAAUAGACCAAUUAUUACCAGUGGAGGUAUGCAUAUUUUGUGGAUUAAUGUCAGUCAUAACACUUUUUU